GGGAGCAGCCCGCCGGCGGCCAACUAAACUCUUGUUUCUAUAGUGAAUCUCUGAGUAAAAAACAUAAAUGAAUCAAAACUUUCAACAACGGAUCUCUUGGUUCUGGCAUCGAUGAAGAACGCAGCGAAAUGCGAUAAGUAAUGUGAAUUGCAGAAUUCAGUGAAUCAUCGAAUCUUUGAACGCACAUUGCGCCCUCUGGUAUUCCGGAGGGCAUGCCUGUUCGAGCGUCAUUUCAACCCUCAAGCCUGGCUUGGUGAUGGGGCACUGCCUGUGAAAGGGCAGGCCCUGAAAUCUAGUGGCGAGCUCGCCAGGACCCCGAGCGUAGUAGUUAUAUCUCGCUUUGKAAGGCCCUGGCGGUGCCCUGCCGUUAAACCCCCAACUUCUGAAAAUUUGACCUCGG
This 400-nucleotide ribosomal RNA is filed under the name Phomopsis sp. 2 JM-2013. Its description in RNAcentral is "eukaryotic LSU rRNA". The stretch from base 77 to 230 matches the Rfam family "5.8S ribosomal RNA". The record is from RNAcentral. Lineage: Eukaryota; Fungi; Ascomycota; Sordariomycetes; Diaporthales; Diaporthaceae.